UUAACAUAAUAACUUGCCCGUCAACACAUUGA
Molecule: non-coding RNA, 32 nt
Filed under: Syntrophotalea carbinolica DSM 2380
Lineage: Bacteria; Pseudomonadati; Thermodesulfobacteriota; Desulfuromonadia; Desulfuromonadales; Syntrophotaleaceae
Source: RNAcentral